AGGAUUAUAGUUUAUAAAAACAUUUGAUUUGCACUCAAAAAAUAUUGUUAUUCAAUUUAUCUUA
Molecule: transfer RNA, 64 nt
Filed under: Nymphalis io (European peacock)
Lineage: Eukaryota; Metazoa; Arthropoda; Insecta; Lepidoptera; Nymphalidae
Also listed under: 1 other name
Description: Inachis io (European peacock) tRNA-Ala
Rfam family: tRNA
About the family: Transfer RNA (tRNA) molecules are approximately 80 nucleotides in length. Their secondary structure includes four short double-helical elements and three loops (D, anti-codon, and T loops).
Source: RNAcentral